This is a long non-coding RNA of Haliotis rubra (blacklip abalone), 939 nucleotides long. RefSeq lists it as uncharacterized. Lineage: Eukaryota; Metazoa; Mollusca; Gastropoda; Lepetellida; Haliotidae. The transcript is spliced from 4 exons. The record is from RefSeq and is a predicted model, not a curated record.
CUUUGUGAGAGUCCACUUGUACGGACAGAGUUGCCAACACUCGUGUGUUGAUAAGUGUUACGGCUAUGCAUGUGGUAUUCAAGGAAACUGCUCACAAGGCAAAUGUAUGGAUGGUCGGUACGGCAAACUAUGCAGAAAGUCAUAAAACCGAGGUAUGAGUCAUGUCAUCAAGAGAGUGGACGAUGCAUUAAAUGCCGGCGAGGGUUAUUCGGCGACGACUGUCAGCAUCACUGUUCACAUCGAAUGUCUAUCAAGGGAAGAAGAUGAAAUGUUCAGGUGUAGUUCGGGAUGCACGCUGUGCGAGUUACCGCCCUCAUACUGGUUGUAAGAAAGAUCUGGCACUUCCAGUCAAUGCCAUGGAGGCCCAAAUUAACACCACCCUUCGACUUUGUAUCGCUGUGCUGUUGAUUGCUGUGACAACCCUCGCCAUCCCUUAUCGGACGGCCAUGGCUGCCGGGUCGACGUCAUGAAAGGAACAGAGACGGCAAAGGUGGUAAGUAUUCUGAAAAAAGAAGCUUUUUGUACUUAAAUGUAACAGAAAGGAACAGAAGUCGUGUAUAUUCCAUAUGUGAAACGAAGAACCAAAUGUUCAAGCGAGCUUUGGUCUUAACUUGGUGUCAGUUAACACGUCCAUCGUAAAUUUUGCGUUUUUACCUUUGCAACAAACCUAAGAUGCUAAAAUAGUGCUUUGAUGAUCCUAUUUAUGGAAGCUUCUAGUGUAUUCACAAAUCAUUAGCAAAAUGUUGAUAAUGUAAUGAAAUGAUCACAGCGAAAAGUUUCAUAACAAAUGGGUGUGAUGUUUUGUUAAUCCUAAUCCGUAUUUUCACUUCUUAUUCCGUAUAUUCUGGACUUCAGAGACCUCAUAUUGUAAAAUCAUGGGGUGAAGAAACGUGUUAUGGACAUAGGCAACGUUUACAUGCACAUUGUCAAAAGAAACAG